GCGAAGCCGCUCAGUCGUGUCCGACUCGCAGCGACCCCAGGGACUGCAACCUAUGAGGCUCCUCUGUCCAUGGGAUUUUCCAGGCAAGAGUACUGGAGUGGGGUGCCAUUGCCUUCUCCCCUUGCCUGAAUGAGAUGUGCUAAAUGACCAAGGGGAGCAGCAGCAUAUGAUCGCCUUAAAUAACUGAAAACAAUUUUCAGAAAUAUCGGAGGAGACUGCCUUCUUCUGAAUGACUUACCUGGGUGAUCAUAUUACUAAACUACCAAUUAACGUCAAUGUGCUUCUCUAAAUGUGGUGCAGUGCCUAUAUGGAACUCUGCUUCAGGAAGUGCUGAUGGGAAUCGUGAUUAGAAAGCAUGGUGCUGUAUGGAACUCAAGGAAGAGGAAAGCUACAGGAAACUCAGACUGGCCACCGCUGUAGCUCACAGCGGCGUGGGCAGACAGAAGCAUCUGUGUAAAUCUCCGUAUGAUGCCAGGAGCUCUCAGGAGAGGCUCAGAACUACUGUAGAAUGUCCAGCCUUCCUGGCAAAUGGAACUCAGAAAUUCCUUGGACCUCAUGUCUCUUUCUAGUCUGGAAGAACCUUGUAUGAUCAUUGUCAAGUCUUCUUUAACUCCCACUCCUUUCUCAACCCACUGCCCUCUGACUUCUGUCCUCACCACUCCACUGAAACCGUUCUUGCUAAGGUUUUCAAGGACCUUCCAAAAUUUCUGGGCUGAGGGUACUCAACCCAGGGUAGUGGACACUGUUUACCACUUCCUCCUGAGAGUUCUCUUACCGUUGGCUUCUGUGAGACUCUCCCUCCGUUCUUUCCUGUGUCUCACUGAUAACUGUCUCUCUCUCUUUUUUUGCUGUCCUUUCUUCUUCCUAAAUAGUUUUGUUGUUGGCCUCCUUC
Bubalus bubalis (water buffalo) is the source of this 892-nucleotide long non-coding RNA. RefSeq lists it as uncharacterized. The transcript is spliced from 3 exons. NCBI's taxonomy places the organism in Eukaryota, Metazoa, Chordata, Mammalia, Artiodactyla, Bovidae. The record is from RefSeq and is a predicted model, not a curated record.